GACGAACGCUGGCGGCGUGCUUAACACAUGCAAGUCGAACGGAAGGGCCCUGCUUUUGUGGGGUGCUCGAGUGGCGAACGGGUGAGUAACACGUGAGUAACCUGCCCUUGACUUUGUGAUAACUUCAGGAAACUGGGUCUAAUACCGGAUAGGAGCUCCUGCUGCAUGUUGGUGGUUGGAAAGUUUCGGCGGUUGGGGAUGGACUCGCGGCUUAUCCGCUUGUUGGUGGGGUAGUGGAUUACCAAGGCUUUGACGGGUAGCCGGCCUGAGAGGGUGACCGGCCACAUAGGGACUGACAUGAGGCAGAGAUUCCGACGGGAGCGAGCAGUGGGGAAUACUGAACGAGGGGCGGAAGGCGGAUGCAGCAACGCCGCGGGUGGGAUGACGGUCUUCGGGUUGUAAAACGCUUGCGUAUGUGACGGAGCGUGAGUUAAGGGUAUGGGUACAGAAGGACACGCUAACUAAGGU
This 468-nucleotide ribosomal RNA is filed under the name uncultured bacterium. RNAcentral describes it as "partial 16S ribosomal RNA". It matches the Rfam family "Bacterial small subunit ribosomal RNA", at positions 28 to 507 of the family's 1533-position model. The record is from RNAcentral.